AAGUAACACCGCUAACAGCUUCUGUGAGUCAAAAAGUCCAGAACGAUUUUUUUCUAUAAUACUCAAUGAUGAAGAACGGCUACCACUACUUCAUCUGUUACAACGAUACCACAGCAUAAAAUGGAUAUCCAGGCCCUAGACAGCUCAAAGUCCGAUAAUGGUGGUGGUAAGCUUGAACCAAUCAUGAAAUUUAUUAGAUAUGAAUAUGUCACGAUACCAGAUUAUUGCCAGUAGCCAUCACCAUUUUCCGAUUAAAAGUUUCGAAAUUUUGAUAAAA
Long non-coding RNA from Wasmannia auropunctata (little fire ant), 277 nucleotides. RefSeq lists it as uncharacterized. The record is from RefSeq and is a predicted model, not a curated record. The transcript is spliced from 2 exons. Lineage: Eukaryota; Metazoa; Arthropoda; Insecta; Hymenoptera; Formicidae.